Molecule: ribosomal RNA, 292 nt
Filed under: uncultured bacterium
Lineage: Bacteria
Description: partial 16S ribosomal RNA
Rfam family: Bacterial small subunit ribosomal RNA
Source: RNAcentral
GUGCCAGCAGCCGCGGUAAUACGGAGGGUGCAAGCGUUAUCCGGAUUCACUGGGUUUAAAGGGUGUGUAGGCGGGCUAUUAAGUCAGUGGUGAAAUCUCAGGGCUCAACCCUGAAACUGCCAUUGAUACUAUUAGUCUUGAAUAUCGUUGAGGUUGGCGGAAUAUAUCAUGUAGCGGUGAAAUGCAUAGAUAUGAUAUAGAACACCGAUUGCGAAGGCAGCUAACUAAGCGAUGAUUGACGCUGAGGCACGAAAGCGUGGGGAUCAAACAGGAUUAGAUACCCUGGUAGUCC